ACGGGUGAGUAAUGUCUGGGGAUCUGCCCGAUAGAGGGGGAUAACCACUGGAAACGGUGGCUAAUACCGCAUAACGUCGCAAGACCAAAGAGGGGGACCUUCGGGCCUCUCACUAUCGGAUGAACCCAGAUGGGAUUAGCUAGUAGGCGGGGUAACGGCCCACCUAGGCGACGAUCCCUAGCUGGUCUGAGAGGAUGACCAGCCACACUGGAACUGAGACACGGUCCAGACUCCUACGGGAGGCAGCAGUGGGGAAUAUUGCACAAUGGGCGCAAGCCUGAUGCAGCCAUGCCGCGUGUAUGAAGAAGGCCUUCGGGUUGUAAAGUACUUUCAGCGGGGAGGAAGGCGAUGUGGUUAAUAACCGCAUUGAUUGACGUUACCCGCAGAAGAAGCACCGGCUAACUCCGUGCCAGCAGCCGCGGUAAUACGGAGGGUGCAAGCGUUAAUCGGAAUUACCGGGCGUAAAGCGCACGCAGGCGGUCUGUUAAGUCAGAUGUGAAAUCCCCGGGCUUAACCUGGGAACUGCAUUUGAAACUGGCAGGCUUGAGUCUCGUAGAGGGGGGUAGAAUUCCAGGUGUA
Molecule: ribosomal RNA, 579 nt
Filed under: uncultured bacterium
Lineage: Bacteria
Description: bacterial SSU rRNA
Rfam family: Bacterial small subunit ribosomal RNA
Source: RNAcentral